UUGUUCAAGCUGGAGGUGCCGCUCUAGGAAAAUCCGGAGCAAUAAGGUAUCGAAAGUGAGUACGUUGGCUUUUGGCCUAGAAGUAAUCUGAGUGUCUUCCAAGAAAAGUCUCGUUAGCGAGUUAACGUGGCAACCGUACUAAAACUGACACAGGUAGGCAAGGAGAGAAUCCUAAGGCGCUCGAGAGAACCCUCGUUAAGGAAUUCGGCAUACAUACUCCGUAACUUCGGGAGAAGGAGUGCCUCUUCUAUGGAAGUUUUAAACUGAAAUGGAAAAGGUCGCAGUGAAGAAGGUCCGGGCGACUGUUUACUAAAAACACAGGUCUCUGCUAAAAUGUAUAAUUGAUGUAUAGAGACUGACGCGUGCCCGAUGCCAGAAAGUUAAGGGGAUAGGUUAUUUCCUGAGCAAUCAGGAGAGAAGCUUGGAACUGAAGCUCUGGUGAAUGGCGGCUCUAACUAUGAGAGUCCUAAGGUAGCGAAGUUCCUUGUCGGGUAAUUUCCGACGCGCAUGAAUCGCGUAACGACCUGGACACUGUCUCAACGAGGGACUCGGCGAAAUUGUAGUUGUGGUGAAGAUGCCACAUACCCGCGGAAAGACGGAAAGACCCCAUGAACCUUUACUGUAGCUUGUUAUUGGAUUUUGGCGCAGUAUGUGUAGGAUAGGUGGGAGACGAGGAAGUUUCGACGUAAGUUGGAAUGGAGUCAAUGGUGAAAUACCACCCUUACUUUGUUAAAAUUCUAAUGGAAUACCGUGAAUCCGGGUUCUUGACAGUGGUAAGUGGGCAGUUUGACUGGGGCGGUCUCCUCCAAAAAAGUAACGGAGGAGCCCAAAGGCUUCCUCAAUGCGCUUGGCAACCGCAUUUAGAGUGUAAAGGCAUAAGGGAGCUUAACUGCGAGACCCAUAAGUCGAGCAGGUGUGAAAGCAGGGCUUAGUGAUCCGGCGGUUUCUGUGUGGAAAGGCCGUCGCUCAACAGAUAAAAGGUACUCUGGGGAUAACAGGCUGAUCUCCUCCGAGCGUCCAUAGCGGCGAGGAGGUUUGGCACCUCGAUGUCGGCUCAUCGCAUCCUGGGGCUGAAGAAGGUCCCAAGGGUUUGGGAGUUCACCAAUUAAAGCGGUACGCGAGCUGGGUUUAGACCGUCGUGAGACAGGUCGGUCCCUAUCUUCCGUGGGCGUACGAUAUUUGAGAAAAUCUGCCUCUAGUACGAGAGGAUCGAGGUGGACGAACCUAUGGUGAAUCAGUUGUUGUGCUAACAGCAUGGCUGAGUAGCUAAGUUCGGAAGGGAUAAACGCUGAAAGCAUAUAAGCGUGAAGCCUGCUUUAAGAUUAGAUAUCGUUCUCUAAGCAAUUAGAGUGAAGACAUCUUAAAGACUAUGAGAUUGAUAGGCCAGGUGUGUAAGUCCGGUAACGGAUUCAGCUAACUGGUACUAAUAUGUCGAAAAGCUUGAUCAC
Molecule: non-coding RNA, 1448 nt
Filed under: Planctomycetes bacterium GWA2_40_7
Lineage: Bacteria; Pseudomonadati; Planctomycetota
Description: bacterial LSU rRNA
Rfam family: Bacterial large subunit ribosomal RNA
Source: RNAcentral